Molecule: long non-coding RNA, 330 nt
Organism: Dermacentor andersoni
Lineage: Eukaryota; Metazoa; Arthropoda; Arachnida; Ixodida; Ixodidae
Source: RefSeq, a predicted model, not a curated record
UUCAUUGUGGUCGGCGUUCGGGAAAGCCAGGUGGGCGUUUCGGGAACACACAAUUUGACCCAACGUGCCACGCUACAACGACAACGACGCAAGAGGAGAGGUUCUGCCGGACCCUGUUCAAGGCUCAGCAGUGUCCCUAUCCAGGCAGCCAUCCCUCAUUGAGCCGCUGUGGUCGCUGACAUGGGCGCCGGAGGAAAGCCCCUCCUCAAGCUGGCUGAUAUGCCCCACAAUGAACAAGCGCCCGGGACAGCCCAGGAUGAAGCUUGCACACUGAUCGGAGAUCCCCUGGAAUCGACCAUGGCCCCGUCAAUGGCCACUUCGAGUAAGGAA